AGAGUUAGCCGUCUCUUCCUCUUGAGGUACUAUCAACCUUGCACGCUUCUCACGCACAAGGCUUGCUCCCUCAUGACAGCGGUUUACAAUCCGAAGACCUUCUUCCCGCACGCGGCGUCGCACCAUCAGGGUUUCCCCCAUUGUGAAUGAUUCUCGACUGCUGCCACCCGUAGGUGUCUGGACCGUGUCUCAGUUCCAGUGUGGCCGAUCAGCCUCUCAGCUCGGCUACCCAUCGUCGACUUGGUGGGCCGUUACCCCGCCAACUAUCUAAUGGGACGCGAACCCCUCCUAAAGCGGAUUGCUCCUUUGACCUCAUCCUGAUGUCAGGUCGUGGUCUUAUGCGGUAUUAGCAACCGUUUCCGGUUGUUAUCCCCCUCUUUAGGGCAGGUUGUUCACGCGUUACUCACCCGUUCGCCACUAAAGUAUCAACCGAAAUCAAUACUUCCGUUCGACUUGCAUGUGUUAGGCACGCCGCCAGCGUUCGUCCUGAGCCAGAAUCAAACUACUGA
This 509-nucleotide ribosomal RNA is filed under the name uncultured bacterium. Its description in RNAcentral is "partial 16S ribosomal RNA". The record is from RNAcentral.